RNAcentral lists this signal recognition particle RNA (94 nucleotides) under Candidatus Pelagibacteraceae bacterium. RNAcentral describes it as "signal recognition particle sRNA small type". It matches the Rfam family "Bacterial small signal recognition particle RNA". From Rfam's summary of the family: The signal recognition particle (SRP) is a universally conserved ribonucleoprotein involved in the co-translational targeting of proteins to membranes. Archaeal SRP consists of a 7S RNA and homologues of the eukaryotic SRP19 and SRP54 proteins. Lineage: Bacteria; Pseudomonadati; Pseudomonadota; Alphaproteobacteria; Candidatus Pelagibacterales; Candidatus Pelagibacteraceae. The record is from RNAcentral.
UUUGGGUCAAUCAGGUAGAUGUACGGCAAAUCCUGUCAGAUUCGAAAGAAAGCAGCAGUAACCAGUAAUUUUCUAGGUUGAUUGGCCCUUAAAA